This is a transfer RNA of Trachipleistophora hominis, 73 nucleotides long. It matches the Rfam family "tRNA". From Rfam's summary of the family: Transfer RNA (tRNA) molecules are approximately 80 nucleotides in length. Their secondary structure includes four short double-helical elements and three loops (D, anti-codon, and T loops). Further hydrogen bonds mediate the characteristic L-shaped molecular structure. tRNAs have two regions of fundamental functional importance: the anti-codon, which is responsible for specific mRNA codon recognition, and the 3' end, to which the tRNAs corresponding amino acid is attached (by aminoacyl-tRNA synthetases). tRNAs cope with the degeneracy of the genetic code in two manners: having more than one tRNA (with a specific anti-codon) for a particular amino acid; and 'wobble' base-pairing, i.e. permitting non-standard base-pairing at the 3rd anti-codon position. NCBI's taxonomy places the organism in Eukaryota, Fungi, Microsporidia, Pleistophoridae. The record is from Rfam.
GCGGGCGUGGCGCAAUGGUUAGCGCGUGUGACUUCGGAUCUCAAGGUUGUGGGUUCGAAUCCCUCCGUCCGCG